CCUACGGGAGGCAGCAGUGAGGAAUAUUGGUCAAUGGGCGGGAGCCUGAACCAGCAAAGUCGCGUGAGGGAUGACGGCCCUAUGGGUUGUAAACCUCUUUUGCCGGGGAGCAAAGUGCCGCACGUGUUCUGUUUGGAGUGUACCCGGUGAAAAAGCAUCGGCAAACACCGGUCCAGCCGCCGCUGUAAUACGGAGGAUGCGAGCGUUAUCCGGAUUUAUGGGGGUUAAAUGGUGCGUGGGCGGACGCUUAAGUCAGCGGUAAAAUUGCGGGGCUAAACCUCGUAGUGCCGGUGAAACUGGGGGCCUUGAGUGGGCGAGAGGUACGCGGAAUGCGUGGUGUAGCGGGGAAA
This 350-nucleotide ribosomal RNA is filed under the name uncultured bacterium. Its description in RNAcentral is "partial 16S ribosomal RNA". It matches the Rfam family "Bacterial small subunit ribosomal RNA", at positions 338 to 686 of the family's 1533-position model. The record is from RNAcentral.